CGGCAUUGUUUCUGACUAACUGAGCAUUACACGUGUCAAAAUAUAUCUAAAAGCUUUACCGUUGUACAAUAGUUUUCAGGAAAUAACCGCCCGAGCUCCUCGAACAAACCAGGACAUACAUCUUCAGCUGAUAUUGCGAUAAAAAUUUAUAAAACAUCGAAACGAAUAUGGGCAAUUUUAUAAGCACUUCAUCUAAAAAUGGAGAAGAAUGGAAACGUAGAAUAUACUUUUAUCCCGUAGCUGACAAAGGCACUGAACCAAUUUAUAAAUUAUCAGCUUCUGAGUUGGUUGACAGACUGCCAAACCUGGUCGAUGGCGACGAACAUAUAAUUAAUAUAAUGGCAUAUAAGUACAAGCUGUAUUCAUGGCAAUUAACAAAGUUCACAUUAUACCACGUUUCUAUAGUAUUUGAAACGGAACAUUGGUGGUGGUCGAUUGAAAAGAAUUCCGAAGGCAUCACCAUUCAACGAAGUGAACAUCAAUGGGUUGUUUAUAAUACAUAUAGACGCGGACCCAGGUAUGGACGUACUCUCAUAAAGAAGGACAACGGAAGAGGAACAUUGAAUGAUCUAAUAGAAUGGCUUCAGCAAGAAAAUGAACUAAUCUAUGGGUAUAAUUUUAUCAAUAGCAACAGUGAAGAUUUUGCAAAAUCUGUCUUUGACCAUGUGGCUGUAGAAAAACGUUUGUAAUAUGUCCUUUGUGCAUGUGCGCAUCUAUAUGUCUACAUUGCUUUGAAAACACAGUUCUCUCAUUUCAAUAUUUACUGUCACAUGAGGAAUUAAUAAAAAUCGCAUAUAAAAUGAUAAUAAUAUUCAUACUUCCUAUGAAAUUAUGAUUAAAACAUUCUAACUGACGACAUGAAUGUGUCGCCGCAUAAUAAGAAACAGCAUUUGUAUACAAAAACUAGAUCAGAAGAGUGCAAAAGUAUAGGGAAAAGGUAAUACGCUUAUUUCUAAAAUAAUUAGGUUACUAUGAAGAUAAAUCAUAAAAUAAUUUUGCAUGCAAAUGGCGUUUUGAUAUAGCAAACUGUUUCUUUUACGGAGAGAAGCAAUAUAUCAUAUAACAAUUUUAUUGAUGAUCAUCUUAAUACUAUAAGCUAUACAAACUUAUACUUUGAAUCGGAUUGGAUAGAGACCAUUCAAAUUCCGAUGCAAAAUAUACUUUAAGUUAAAAUGUAUUAUCCUCACUCUAAUGACAUCUACGACUGCCAAAUUACUUUAUAUAAUGUAAUGAUUAGUGCAAAUAUCAAGAUUGUUUCAAUCAAUUUAAAAUAAAUUCUAGGGAGAGAAGUAGUGAAGAACUAAAUAUAUUGCAGAUGAUUGGAAUAAGUGUAUCAACACUGGCAGUAUUAAGCAGUAUUUGAUGUUCAACCUUACAUAGUUUGAAUAAAUCAUUCCGAGGGUCAAAUACGAAUAUUUCAAAACCGAUUAUUCAAGAAUCAAAACGUGACAUUAGCAGAUAUACAAAUACACUAGCGUAAUUUGCAGUGAAGAAACACAUUUUAUUACAUCUUAUUACCC
Molecule: long non-coding RNA, 1520 nt
Organism: Ruditapes philippinarum (Manila clam)
Lineage: Eukaryota; Metazoa; Mollusca; Bivalvia; Venerida; Veneridae
Exons: 3
Source: RefSeq, a predicted model, not a curated record